GCCUUCGCGGUGUAGUGGCCAGUACGCUCGACUCAUAACCGAGAGAUCCGUGGUUCGGUUCCCCGCGAAGGCG
Molecule: non-coding RNA, 73 nt
Organism: Stegodyphus mimosarum
Lineage: Eukaryota; Metazoa; Arthropoda; Arachnida; Araneae; Eresidae
Source: Rfam